AGGUUCUGGUAGCUGUGAUACGGCAUAGAGUUAGACUGUUACAUGGGGAAAACAAAUUAGUGCCAUUCCUUUUUAGUAGCUACCUCCCUCCCUCCCUACUGGAAGCAGUAAGAUUCACUGUACAAAAUGAUGAAACAUGAGGUUUUCUUUAAUAGGUGUCCUGAUGGCAGUGGAGAAUCACUUAAUCGGGUUAGGGAUUGGAAGUUCAGAAAUAGGUGACCUGGAGCUGUUUGGGUGGGGUUGCUGUUUAGUACUGGCAGUUGCGGGUUAUUGUAACAAGUGUCCUGGUAGCUGUAGUGACACUGUAGGUGCUGAGAGUACUUUCACAUUAAUUAGCUCCGGGAGAACCUGAAGGAUGG
This is a non-coding RNA of Pelobates cultripes (western spadefoot toad), 359 nucleotides long. The record is from the annotation of a GenBank genome assembly. Lineage: Eukaryota; Metazoa; Chordata; Amphibia; Anura; Pelobatidae.